GAUGAACGCUGGCGGCGUGCCUAAUACAUGCAAGUCGAGCGAACGGACGAGAAGCUUGCUUCUCUGAUGUUAGCGGCGGACGGGUGAGUAACACGUGGAUACCCUACCUAUAAGACUGGGAUAACUUCGGGAAACCGGAGCUAAUACCGGAUAAUAUUUUGAACCGCAUGGUUCAAAAGUGAAAGACGGUCUUGCUGUCACUUAUAGAUGGAUCCGCGCUGCAUUAGCUAGUUGGUAAGGUAACGGCUUACCAAGGCAACGAUGCAUAGCCGACCUGAGAGGGUGAUCGGCCACACUGGAACUGAGACACGGUCCAGACUCCUACGGGAGGCAGCAGUAGGGAAUCUUCCGCAAUGGGCGAAAGCCUGACGGAGCAACGCCGCGUGAGUGAUGAAGGUCUUCGGAUCGUAAAACUCUGUUAUUAGGGAAGAACAUAUGUGUAAGUAACUGUGCACAUCUUGACGGUACCUAAUCAGAAAGCCGCGGCUAACUACGUG
This 497-nucleotide ribosomal RNA is filed under the name uncultured bacterium. Its description in RNAcentral is "partial 16S ribosomal RNA". It matches the Rfam family "Bacterial small subunit ribosomal RNA", at positions 28 to 507 of the family's 1533-position model. The record is from RNAcentral.